CGGCUGGGACAGCACACUCACGACGUGGGAAGGUCACAGAAAUGUUGAAAGACAUCAGAUUGGGCAUACGCUUCACCCGUGCAACUUCGUCAUGUGCUCCACGGCAGCACAAGCCUUUACGGCUGUGCCACUAUGUGUGGAAACGUCGUAGCGGAUGAAUGUGAAUUAUGGAUCUCCAAGUGGCGUCGCCCGCGUCAUUUUCAAGAUUUUACCCGUUUUGAAGGCAAUAGGGCUGUUGAUAGGGAGAAUGCUAGGCUACUGCAGACUGCAACCAUAGGCGCUGUGUCUAAAGGUUAAGCUCACAUGACGCGGCAGGGAAGGGAGUCCGUGGCGAAAAGUGAAUAUAGCCGAAGUUGGAUAGCGUUAAUUUUUGCGCACGAAAGGCAAGCUGGACACAUCGCAAAUCUCCAGUUGUACGAAACACAGUGCAGCAUGGUCGUCGGUUAUGCCAGUGCUUCAACAUAUGUUUCAGCGUCGCACUUCGGACAUUGCGGGCAUAUACCUUUAAGUUUUUCCCCUUGUGGACCGAUGCUGUGUGUGUUCAUGGACAUCAUGUUUUCAAAGACAUGUAAGUUCUCAAUAAUAAUGCGAAAAAAAUGCUGGUCAUGUUACGCUGUGAUAUAAUACCUGGUGAGGUAAUACGAUGCUAUGACGCUCAGUUUCAUACGAA
Molecule: long non-coding RNA, 670 nt
Organism: Ornithodoros turicata
Lineage: Eukaryota; Metazoa; Arthropoda; Arachnida; Ixodida; Argasidae
Exons: 5
Source: RefSeq, a predicted model, not a curated record